RNAcentral lists this ribosomal RNA (454 nucleotides) under uncultured Synechococcus sp. RNAcentral's name for it is "bacterial SSU rRNA". It matches the Rfam family "Bacterial small subunit ribosomal RNA", at positions 8 to 508 of the family's 1533-position model. Lineage: Bacteria; Bacillati; Cyanobacteriota; Cyanophyceae; Synechococcales; Synechococcaceae. The record is from RNAcentral.
AGGCUUUGAUCCUGGCUCAGGAUGAACGCUGGCGGCGUGCUUAACACAUGCAAGUCGAACGAACCUUCGGGUUAGUGGCGGACGGGUGAGUAACGCGUGAGAAUCUGCCCUCAGGAGGGGGAUAACGGCUGGAAACGGCCGCUAAUACCCCAUAUGCCGAGAGGUGAAACGAGUUUUCGCCUGAGGAUGAGCUCGCGUCUGAUUAGCUAGUUGGUGGGGUAAGAGCUUACCAAGGCAUCGAUCAGUAGCUGGUCUGAGAGGAUGAUCAGCCACACUGGGACUGAGACACGGCCCAGACUCCUACGGGAGGCAGCAGUGGGGAAUUUUCCGCAAUGGGCGAAAGCCUGACGGAGCAACGCCGCGUGAGGGACGAAGGCCUCUGGGCUGUAAACCUCUUUUCUCAAGGAAGAAGAUCUGACGGUACUUGAGGAAUAAGCCACGGGUAUAUCCGUGC